RNAcentral lists this ribosomal RNA (497 nucleotides) under uncultured bacterium. Its description in RNAcentral is "partial 16S ribosomal RNA". It matches the Rfam family "Bacterial small subunit ribosomal RNA", at positions 28 to 507 of the family's 1533-position model. The record is from RNAcentral.
GAUGAACGCUGGCGGCGUGCCUAAUACAUGCAAGUCGAGCGAACAGACGAGGAGCUUGCUCCUCUGACGUUAGCGGCGGACGGGUGAGUAACACGUGGAUAACCUACCUAUAAGACUGGGAUAACUUCGGGAAACCGGAGCUAAUACCGGAUAAUAUAUUGAACCGCAUGGUUCAAUAGUGAAAGACGGUUUUGCUGUCACUUAUAGAUGGAUCCGCGCCGCAUUAGCUAGUUGGUAAGGUAACGGCUUACCAAGGCAACGAUGCGUAGCCGACCUGAGAGGGUGAUCGGCCACACUGGAACUGAAACACGGUCCAGACUCCUACGGGAGGCAGCAGUAGGGAAUCUUCCGCAGUGGGCGAAAGCCUGACGGAGCAACGCCGCGUGAGCGAUGAAGGUCUUCGGAUCGUAAAACUCUGUUAUUAGGGAAGAACAAAUGUGUAAGUAAAUAUGCACGACUUGACGGUAACUAAUCAGAAAGCCACGGCUAACUACGUG